AGGAAUGUAGUUAAAAUCAUAACAUUUAAUUUGCAAUUAAAAAUUAUUAAUAAAAACAUAUAAUCUUUCUUA
This 72-nucleotide transfer RNA is filed under the name Acnemia nitidicollis. Its description in RNAcentral is "tRNA-Ala". The record is from RNAcentral. Lineage: Eukaryota; Metazoa; Arthropoda; Insecta; Diptera; Mycetophilidae.